GCCUACGGGAGGCAGCAGUGGGGAAUUUUGGACAAUGGGGGAAACCCUGAUCCAGCCAUUCCGCGUGAGUGAAGAAGGCCUUCGGGUUGUAAAGCUCUUUCAGGAGGGGAAGAAAAGUUGCCUGGCUAAUAUCCAGGCGACUCUUGACGGUACCUUCAAAGGAAGCACCGGCUAACUACGUGCCAGCAGCCGCGGUC
This 197-nucleotide ribosomal RNA is filed under the name uncultured bacterium. Its description in RNAcentral is "partial 16S ribosomal RNA". It matches the Rfam family "Bacterial small subunit ribosomal RNA", at positions 337 to 522 of the family's 1533-position model. The record is from RNAcentral.